This 495-nucleotide ribosomal RNA is filed under the name uncultured bacterium. Its description in RNAcentral is "partial 16S ribosomal RNA". It matches the Rfam family "Bacterial small subunit ribosomal RNA", at positions 28 to 507 of the family's 1533-position model. The record is from RNAcentral.
GACGAACGCUGGCGGCGUGCCUAAUACAUGCAAGUCGAACGCUGAAGGAGGAGCUUGCUCUUCUGGAUGAGUUGCGAACGGGUGAGUAACGCGUAGGUAACCUGCCUGGUAGCGGGGGAUAACUAUUGGAAACGAUAGCUAAUACCGCAUAAUAGUAGAUGUUGCAUGAUAUUUACUUAAAAGGUGCAAUUGCACCACUACCAGAUGGACCUGCGUUGUAUUAGCUAGUUGGUGGGGUAACGGCUCACCAAGGCGACGAUACAUAGCCGACCUGAGAGGGGGAUCGGCCACACUGGGACUGAGACACGGCCCAGACUCCUACGGGAGGCAGCAGUAGGGAAUCUUCGGCAAUGGACGAAAGUCUGACCGAGCAACGCCGCGGGAGUGAAGAAGGUUGUCGGAUCGUAAAGCUCUGUUGUAAGAGAAGAACGAGUGUGAGAGUGGAAAGUUCACACUGUGACGGUAGCUUACCAGAAAGGGACGGCUAACUACGUG